GGGGCAAUCUUGGCUCACUGCAACCUGCGCCUCCCAGGUUCAAGCGAUUCUCCUGCCUCAGCCUCCUGAGUACCUGGGAUUACAGGCGCCUGCCACCAUGCCCAGUUAGUUUUUGUAUUUUUAGUAGAGAUGGGGUUUCACCAUGUUGGCCAGGCUGGUCUCGAAAUCCUGACCUCGUGAUCUGCCGGCCUUGGCCUCCCGAAGUGCUGGGAUUACAAGCGUGAGCCCCCGUGCCUGGCCUUAUUUUCUUUUUAUUGAGACAGAGUCUUCCUCUGUCACCUAGGCUGGAGUGCAGUGGUGUGAUCUUGGCUCACUCUGCAACCUCCACCUCCAGGGUUCAAGUGAUCCUUCUGCCUUAGCCUCCAAGUAGCUGGCACCACAGGCAUGGGACACCACGCCUGGCUAAUUUUUGUAUUUUUAGUAGAGACGGGGUUUCACCAUGUUGUCCAGGAUGAUCUAGAACUCCUGAGCUCAGGUGAUCCACCCACCUCAGCCUCCCAAAGUGCUAGGAUUACAAGCAUGAGGCACCACGCCCAGCCUUAAGCUUAUUAUUUUCUAAAUUUCCUUUAGUGAGUACCUACUACACUGUUUUUACAAAGUAAUCACAAACCAAACAUGCGUCUUCUGAAGUGAUCUAAUAAGAGUACACAGUACCAUCUGUAAAGUGUUCUUGCCAAAAGGUUAAACCUGAAUUUGAUUAGGCCUAUAAGUCUAAUUUACAGGAAAUAAGGUUAGAGGGUUAGCAGGAUUGAUAAGGAAUCAGAGAGACUGAUGGGAUUGAGGAGGAUCUUUAUUAUUUAGGUGCACCAGCCCAGGUGGAUUAACAUCCAAAGGACUGAGCCCUGAACAAAGAGUUAAGUUACCUUUUAAGCAUUUGGUGGGGUGGGGGAGAUCUGUGCAGGGGGAAGCAUAUUACAGAAGUGAGAAACAAAGACGGUUAUUCAAUUAAUUGAGACAUAUAUUACAUCAUUUUUUACUUUUCAAGGAAAAACAUUUUUUACAACUUGAGUUUAUCUGUCUAGUGACCUUGCAGCUGCACAGCUAGGGAAACAGGAUCUUCACAGUGCCUGGGAAAGGAGGAGAGAUAAGGCUCACUAGCCACAGAAAAACAGGCAGUUAAUUUUUAAAGGACUUCAGCUCCUUCUUUUUCUCAGGGGAAAUUGGGUUUUCUUACAUACAACUGAGUUUCUGCUUACACGUUCUUUAAUUUCUUUUAAUUCCUGUUCCAGAGGAACAUGUUAAACCUCACCAUGGGGUUAUACAAUCAGCAAAAUCCAAAAUGCACAAAACUCUACAGGUCGAGUGACCUGUCCAGCAGUUCGUCUCCUAAAUCCAGAAGUAAUCCUUCCCUUCGCUCUUAACCAGUGGAGUUCUCCAUUUAUUUAUUUAUUUUUAUUAUUAUUAUUUUUGAGACAGAAUCUCACUCUAUUGCCCGGGCUGGAGGGCAGUGGCAAGAUCUCGGCUCACUGCAACCUCCGCCUCCUGGGUUCAAGGGAUUCUCCUGCCUCAGCCUCUCGAGUAGCUGGGAUUACAGGCACCCACUGCUAUGCCCAGCUUAUUUUUUUUUAUUUUUUUAUUUUUGAGACGGAGUCUUGCUCUGUCACCCAGGCUGGAGUGCUGGAGUACAGUGGCGCAAUCUCAGCUCACUGCAAGCUCCACCUCCCAGGUUCACGCCAUUGUCCUGCCUCAGCCUCCCAAGUAGCUGGGACUUCAGGUGUCCGCCACUAUGCCCAGUUAAUUUUUUGUAUUUUUUAGUAGAGAUGGGGUUUCACUGUGUUAGCCAGGAUGGUCUCGAUCUCCUAACCUUGUGAUCCGCCCACCUCAGCCUCCCAGAGUGCUGGGAUUACAGGUGUGAGCCACCACGCCCAGCCAAUUUUUUGUAUUUUUAAUAGAGACAGGGUUUCACCAUGUUGGCCAGGCUGGUCUCCAACUCCUGACCUCGUGAUCCACCCACCUCAGCCUCCCAAAGUGCUGAGAUGACAGGUGUGAGCCACUGCACCCGGCCUGGAGUUCUCCUUUUAUACAUUAACAAAUUUCUCUUGCGUCUCUACUACGUCUUGCUAGAUGUGUUGGAAAAGGAUGAAUAAAUGCAGUUCUACCCUCCACUUGUAGGUGGAGUGGAAGUGUAAACAAGCAAUUUCAACACAGUGGGAGAGGUGCUAAAGAGAGAACUGUGUGGUCACUGGGGCAGUGCACAUAACCAAAAAUAAAGAGAGACAUAUACAAGGCUCAGUGGUGGCUCAGUAGAGCAAAGCCAGGCAACAGAUGACACAGCUGUAAACAAACCAAAAUUCACCAUCAACAUAUUUUGAAAGUAUGUGGUGGUGCUGAUUUCAAAUCUUGGCUCCAUCACACACUAUGUGGCCUUGGGAAAGUUACAUAACCUCUAAGCACCAGUUUCUACCUGGGGAGAAUAUUACCUAUUCCAGGGUGUUAUUUAUGAUGAUAUUUAAAGGAAAUAAUGCAUGUAAAGUGCUUAGCACAGUCUCUGGCACUUAAUGGUACUUCCAAAUUACUACAGAAAAAAAUGUAUAUUUUUAUUUUUUAAGAGACAGGGUAUUGCUCUGUCACCCAGGCUGAGGUACAGUGGUGCAACCAUAGCUCAUUGCAACCUUGAACAGUUGUGCUGAAGUGAUCUUCCCUCCUCAGCCUCCCAAGUAGCUGGAAGGACAGGGGCGUGCCACCAUGUGCGGCUAAGUUUUUUUAAACAUUUUUUUGUAGAGAUGGGGUCUCCCUAUGUUGACCAGACUAGUUUCAAACUAUUGGCCUCAAGCAAUCCUUCUACCUUGGCCUCCCAAAAUGUUGGGAUUACAGGCAUGAGCCACUGCAUCUAGCCUGAAACAAAUCUUACAUAUAGGGAAAAAAAACUUUUAGCACAAAGAUGUAUUUAUAAUAGGAACAUUUCUGGAACACACUGAAAAUCCUCUUUUGGUUUUUUUGUUUUUGUUUUUGUUUUUUUUGAGACAGAGUCCCAGAGCUAGGAAUAUAGGCAUGCGCCACCACAUGUGGCUCAUUUUUGUAUUUUUAGUAGAGAUGUGGUCUUGUUAUGUUGGCCAGGCUGGUCUCAAACACCUAACCUCAAGUGAUUCAUCUGCCUUGGCCUCCCAAAAAUGUGGGGAUUACAGGUGUGAGCCACCACACUUCAUAUAAUAUCCUUUUGAUGGAGUAUUAUGUAGCUGUUAAACUGUGACAAUGUUUGACAGUCAUAGAUACAAAAAGCACUAAAUAAAAUUUGAAUCUGAUGUUAUCUUGGCUAUGUAAAUAGAUACCCAAAGUCCCUGGGCCUCUCCAGCCUGUGAUUUUAAAUGAGGUCACAUUAGCCUUAUACCCGAAUUUCACUGUCCCAUUGCCCCCACCAGCUCUUACAGACCUCUGCAAAGGCCCUGAGGGCCCUAGGGAAUAAAGCAUAUGCCCCACCCACCCAACUAUUCAUAAACUGUCUGUGUUUGAUGGGCACAGCCACCCUUUGCCAAGCCUUCACUCUUGCCAUACCUCAUAAAGGACACCUCCCUGUCAGGUUGACCAAACCACUUGGUUUGCCUGGAACCGAGAGGUUUCCUGGGAUUUAGGACUUUUAGUACUAAAACUGAGAGACUCUUUGGCAAACUAGGAGAACUUGGUCACCCUGACUCACUGUGCAAAGCUGCACAUUUUUUUUGCACUUCCAAGCUGCAAAAUUUUUAGAUCCCCAAAUGGAGUUGUUUUUUUUUAGCUAGAGCUCAGCUUCAUUCUUCCCAAAACAGGGACUUAUGGACCUCCCAGAGGACUGGGUGAGGUGAAUAUUCAUGUUUGAAUUCAGGGGACUUUUAUCCCUGGUACCAGGGAAGUAAAAAGAAACAACAGUCAAAAGGUUGCUUGAGAAACAGCUAAUUAGAGGAUGGGUCUAGAGAAGAGAUGCUGGUUUGGGAAACAUGAGCACAUUGGGUGGCAAAUAUCAUGAGACUGGACUGGAUGGCCCAGGACACCUGUAAACAGGAGAGAAGCCUGAGAAUAAUGACAUUUGAGCCAAUCUGCAGAGAGUCAUUCUUAUAGAAGAGCAUCAGAGGAAGAUAAAAAAGAAUCCUCAAUGUCAGGCCCCUGAGCCCAAGCUAAGCCAUCAUAACCCUGUGACCUGCACAUAUACAUCCAGAUGGCCUGAAGCAACUGAAGAACCAUAAACGUGAAAUAGCCAGUUCCUGCCUUAACUGAUGACAUUCCACCAUUGUGAUUUGUUCCUGCUCCACCCUAACUGAUCAAUUGAUCUUGUGACAUUCCUUCUCCUGGACAAUGAGUCUCAGGAGCUCCUCACCAAGCACCUUGUUACCCCCACCCCUGCCCACAAGAGAAAACGCACGUUAACUGUAAUUUUUCCACUACCUACCCAAAUCCUAUAAAACUGCCCCACCCCAUCUCCUUUUGCUGACUCCAGGUGAUUAAAAAACUAUUGCUCACACAA
This 4435-nucleotide long non-coding RNA is filed under the name Homo sapiens (human). RNAcentral describes it as "HSALNT0389867". Lineage: Eukaryota; Metazoa; Chordata; Mammalia; Primates; Hominidae. The record is from RNAcentral.